Molecule: ribosomal RNA, 253 nt
Filed under: uncultured bacterium
Lineage: Bacteria
Description: partial 16S ribosomal RNA
Rfam family: Bacterial small subunit ribosomal RNA
Source: RNAcentral
UACGUAGGUGGCAAGCGUUGUCCGGAUUUAUUGGGUUUAAAGGGUGCGUAGGCGGCCCUGUAAGUCAGUGCUGAAAUAUCCCGGCUUAACCGGGAGGGUGGCAUUGAUACUGCGGGGCUAGAGUACAGAUGAGGUAGGCGGAAUUGACGGUGUAGCGGUGAAAUGCUUAGAUAUCGUCAAGAACACCUAUAGCGAAGGCAGCUUACUAGGCUGUAACUGACGCUGAGGCACGAAAGCGUGGGGAUCAAACAGG